Bacillus thermozeamaize is the source of this 87-nucleotide non-coding RNA. The record is from Rfam. NCBI's taxonomy places the organism in Bacteria, Bacillati, Bacillota, Bacilli, Caryophanales, Bacillaceae.
UAACCAGAACCGAAAGGUUCUAUUGAACGUACAGGAGUCAGCAGAGGCCAUAGUACUGGAGUAAGGGACGCCUGAAACAGGAAGGGC